RNAcentral lists this long non-coding RNA (536 nucleotides) under Brassica napus (rape). RNAcentral's name for it is "long non-coding RNA (BNAP_LNC026116)". The record is from RNAcentral. Lineage: Eukaryota; Viridiplantae; Streptophyta; Magnoliopsida; Brassicales; Brassicaceae.
AGCCAAGCAAGCUCCACCUAAGAGCAAAGGCGCUCAAGCUCCACCUAAGAGCAAAGGCUCUCAAGCUCCACCUAAGCGCAAAGGCGAUCAACCUACUCCAACAAAAAAGGUACUACCUAAGAGAAAGUGUAGGACUUGGUGAACUUGGAACUACGAUGCUUGAGUUAGGGUGCUGGAGCAACGCUUUUGGAACUUCAUAUUGACUGUGUAAUAUUAUGUAAUAUGGAAUGUGAAACUUUGUGUAAUAGGUUUCUAAAGUGUAAUAUGUCUGAAUGUUUGUGUAUGAAACUCUAUGAAUGUAAUGCUUUGUUUGUGUUAUGAAUAAAUGGCUUCUUCUUAUAUGCGUUGUUUUAAAUUUUAAUGAAUAGGAUGGGAAAAAGAUUGCUACAUAAACUAAUGAUUUUGAUUUUGGAGUGAGUACACAAGACUUGCGGGACCUGUCCCAAGCUACAUUUGUUGAGGGUUUUGAUCUGUCUCAAGUGAAAGUUGAGACCUCAUGUAAAUCAAAACCGUUGAACAUGGCUCCACUGCAGUGG